Molecule: long non-coding RNA, 620 nt
Organism: Triticum dicoccoides
Lineage: Eukaryota; Viridiplantae; Streptophyta; Magnoliopsida; Poales; Poaceae
Exons: 4
Source: RefSeq, a predicted model, not a curated record
UGAGAUGCUAUUCGUAUUGGCCUGAAUGCAGUUGAAUUCUGAAUCAUAAACAAGCUGGGAGAUUUGUCUUCCACAUAUUUUUAGUGCAUGCUCGGAGAACAAGAUAAGAGGAGAGGCUUGAAUCUUGAGAUGACAAGGGUAGUCACCUGCUGCGACUAAAGGAAGGAGGUCAAUGAAGCAAAAGGCAUGAAAAGGAAGGAGCAGCGCCACAGGGACGAUGUUGUCAGCAGCGCUUUGGAAGGAUUCGCUCCAGAGAAGUUACGGUAGUCGGCCAUCGCCCAGGGGAAGCGGGGAGGAUGUCGUCCGAAACGCCUGGGUCUAGAGGAGUGUGUCCAGGUGGUGGCCGAGGAUGGCGACGAGCAAUUGGGUUGGGCAUUUGUCAACGUGAUGGCAUCGUUGCUCAAGGUACCAACACCCUUGUUUUGACCCAAUGUUUCUCGGCUAGCUGUGCAUGGCUGGGACUGUUUCGUGCAUAUAGGGGACGGCUCAUGCCAUCCACUUCCAAAGCAAUAAGACUUGAAAGGAGAAAAUAUUGGCAAAAAGUCCCUCAAAGUUCGUAGUCUGGGUGUAGAAGGUUUGGGGAUUUUGAGCCGGAUGGGCCAUUGAUGGUUGCGGUUGGC